UUUGAAUUUAUACAACUUCAUGCCCACGAAGACGAAAGUCUGUCAAAUUUUAAUGAAUUAUAUAUGUAUAUUAACAAUAUGUCAGAGUAAGUGACAAUGCAAACAGUGCAAAAUAUUCAAUUCAAUCCCAGUGUUAUAUAAUUACUCAUUUAUAACAUAUAAAAAACUGCAGUAGGCACAAUUCGUGAAACUUUAUUUAUUUUGCCACUCAGUGCCAGACGAAUCCGGGUCCGUUCGCCCUGAUUCAUGUUCGCCCUAGUACCUGUUCGCCCUGAUACCUGUUCGCCCAGGGUCCAUUCGCCCUAAACUUUUUUAUUUUUUUCUAAUUGUUGUCUAGUCGCAUUAUUUUAAAUAUUUGAACAAAAUAUGUUAAAGUUUGUUGAAAAAUUGACAGAAUAUUUAUAUUGCCGCAAUCAAUUUAUCAUUUUCCCUUUGAUUUGCAGAGUAGAAUACUGGAAUACAAUGUAUUUAUCUUUAUUGAUAUUUUGUUAACAAAAUAAUUGUAUUCAGUCAAUCACGAAUGUAUACAGUAUGACUAGUCUUAGAGUAUAAAUAAAUGAACUUGUAAAUCCGUUUCAUAAUUUACAGUUCGUACAUCAUUGUUUUUAUUAAUUUCAAGCUGAAUAUUUUAUCAAAACAAGACGUUUGUUUUUAUUAUUAAUCCAUCAAACAUGUCAAAAGACAAGUAUCAUCUUCUUCUUCUAUACAUAUUAAAUUCCAAUUAUGGAACACCUUCUCAUUGGAAUUAUUUCCAGAUGAGGAGUUAUAAAAGUUUCACAAUAAUCAGUGAUCCGAAUUAUUUGUCAUUGAACAAUUAAUGAUCGUAAACAAGCCAUAAACUUUUAAAUAUUUCAAUGCUUCCAUAAAUUUCAAGAAUAUACAUGAUAUCAGUCAGAGCUCUGACAUAAACAAGUCAGAAUAAAAUGACUUCUUCAAGUCAGAAAAUGUUUUGAAAUUCUGACCUGUACGGGUCAAUUUUUGUUUUGCGUAGUUUUCCAUCGAGUCCGUCAAACCAGAAGAUAUUUUGAAUUUGCCGCCGAUCUAAGACACAUACGAUCACGUGGUUUUCUGCAAGAGAUCACGUGUUUGAGAGUCGUUGUUUUGGGAGUUUCUCGAACGAGAAGUUAUUGAAAAUAUAGUGAUUAUUUACGUUUUUUUAGUGAAAAUCUAGGUCAAUGUGGUCAUUUUCAGAAGGUAAUACAUAUUACCUCCGUAUUUUCAUGGCCAUUUUAAUAUUUUUUGCGUGUGAAGAAGGUCUUUGCAAGUGAUUUUUUUGCUGUUUCAUGAAGGCGCGUGACCUGUAAAUACGGACGCGUGGCCUUUGAGAUGACCUGGUGUCUGACAAUUCUGACUUGUUCAGGUCAGAAAAUGUUGUUAUGAUAAUGAACUGUUAUUUUCGGGAGACAACUCCUGUUGUCUUAAACAGUAUUAACAUUAAUAACCAGUCGGUGCAAUUUUAAAAGUAAAAUUAUUGCUUCGAGCUGAACAUCAUCACGUGAUUGUUCUAUUUUUAAACUCAAUCAUGAAGUGACUUUUUAACCUUUCCGAGUUUGCGGCUUAUAAAUAUAUUUGUUUUUUCGUUUCUCCCAAUGAGAAAAACGAUCUUUUGAAUAUUGAUAUUAAUGAAAAUGAAAUGAAAUCGGAAUAAUUUUAAUAAAGGGAAGGGAGGGUUUAACUAAAGAACCGAAAUAUUUUUUAUUUUUAUUUUAAAAAUGAUUUUAACUUGAGAACAUUAUAAAGAGAUUCACAAAACGGGUUUUUCAAUUAUGAACAUGGAAUAUGAUAUUAAAAACAAAUCAAAUGAAAUGUAGGGUAAGGCUCCAGGGAUCACCCUACCCUGUCAUUUGACAAUGUUGAACAGUCGAGAUCCCUGCCCCCUAAACUCAAUUUUUUCUCUCUGUAAAGUAUAAUGAAAUAUACCAGGCUAGUCUCUAUGGGUCGCCCCACCCUUGUCAUUUGAGAAUGAUCUUAUAUCUUGAAAAUGGUCGAGAUCCCACCUGUAAACAUAUAUAUUCCUUUUUAUAAUGUCAAAUUGAUUUGAAUGAAAUAUACCGGGCUAGUCUCUGGNNNNNNNNNNNNNNNNNNNNNNNNNNNNNNNNNNNNNNNNNNNNNNNNNNNNNNNNNNNNNNNNNNNNNNNNNNNNNNNNNNNNNNNNNNNNNNNNNNNNNNNNNNNNNNNNNNNNNNNNNNNNNNNNNNNNNNNNNNNNNNNNNNNNNNNNNNNNNNNNNNNNNNNNNNNNNNNNNNNNNNNNNNNNNNNNNNNNNNNNNNNNNNNNNNNNNNNNNNNNNNNNNNNNNNNNNNNNNNNNNNNNNNNNNNNNNNNNNNNNNNNNNNNNNNNNNNNNNNNNNNNNNNNNNNNNNNNNNNNNNNNNNNNNNNNNNNNNNNNNNNNNNNNNNNNNNNNNNNNNNNNNNNNNNNNNNNNNNNNNNNNNNNNNNNNNNNNNNNNNNNNNNNNNNNNNNNNNNNNNNNNNNNNNNNNNNNNNNNNNNNNNNNNNNNNNNNNNNNNNNNNNNNNNNNNNNNNNNNNNNNNNNNNNNNNNNNNNNNNNNNNNNNNNNNNNNNNNNNNNNNNNNNNNNNNNNNNNNNNNNNNNNNNNNNNNNNNNNNNNNNNNNNNNNNNNNNNNNNNNNNNNNNNNNNNNNNNNNNNNNNNNNNNNNNNNNNNNNNNNNNNNNNNNNNNNNNNNNNNNNNNNNNNNNNNNNNNNNNNNNNNNNNNNNNNNNNNNNNNNNNNNNNNNNNNNNNNNNNNNNNNNNNNNNNNNNNNNNNNNNNNNNNNNNNNNNNNNNNNNNNNNNNNNNNNNNNNNNNNNNNNNNNNNNNNNNNNNNNNNNNNNNNNNNNNNNNNNNNNNNNNNNNNNNNNNNNNNNNNNNNNNNNNNNNNNNNNNNNNNNNNNNNNNNNNNNNNNNNNNNNNNNNNNNNNNNNNNNNNNNNNNNNNNNNNNNNNNNNNNNNNNNNNNNNNNNNNNNNNNNNNNNNNNNNNNNNNNNNNNNNNNNNNNNNNNNNNNNNNNNNNNNNNNNNNNNNNNNNNNNNNNNNNNNNNNNNNNNNNNNNNNNNNNNNNNNNNNNNNNGUACGUGCAGCAAGAACCAGCAUUGCUUUUUUUAACCGCAUGCGGGUACUCGCAGACACUGCCAUAAAAAAAUACACUGACAAUGCUAUGGCUUAAAAAUUUCAAGACAAACAGACAAAAUGAAAUAACAGUAUACCAGACACAACAUAGAAAACAAUUAAUUGAGCAACACAAACCAUACCAAAUACUGAGGGUUAUCUCAGGUGCUCUGGAAGGGUAAGCAGAUCCUGCUCCACAGUGUUGUUCAUGUUAAUUAUUAGAAAUCCAGUAAAUAGUCUAAAUCGGUUGGUCACAUUCGUAUAAAGGGAACAGGUUUAUAUUAAUGCCAUAAGGAACAUAUCCGACAUUUUUUCAAAUAUCGUCUGUGAAACUGAUAUUCCAUAAUGGUGAACCAACUUGUGAGGGCGCCAGUAAAAUUUACUUCACCAUUUGGAACUCUUGGUUAAAGAUGUCAUAAUCAUUUGGACUUUUAAAGACUGACAGUCAUGACUGUGACAGAAAGCAAAUUUAACUUUUUGCAUAUAAUUAUUUAUUGGUACAUGUACAUGUAUUGCUGUGCUAUAUUUUAAACAUGUUAAAUGUUAUCUGGUUAUGUUUGUUAUAAAAAUAUAUAUAUUUCCCAAUGGAUUUAAUUUGUGCAGGGGCGGAUGCAGGAAUUUUCGAAAGGGGGGGUGCUAACCCAGGGCAAAGGGGGGUGCAAAACAUAUGUCCGAUACAAAUGCAUGAUCGGCAAAAUAAAGGGGGUUGCGCACCCCCGGAACCCCCCCCCUGGAUCUCCACUGUUGUGUGUGUGUGUGUGUGUGUGUGUGAGUGUACUAAUAUUCUUCUGCAAACACAUUUAGGGUGCUUCACUCUAGCUGCUAAACUGUAUCUCUGAGGUCUUUAUAAUAUUCUUUUGACAAUUUACAGGGUGCCAUCUAUUGUAUACAAUUUGUCAUAAAUAAUCAUACAUGUCAUAAGGACAUAUGAGAUAUGGUUAAAAAGCUAGCUCUAGUCCAAAUAAUAAUGACAUCUUGAAAAGGUAUUAAUUUUUUGCUUUGACAUCUAGACCAAACACAACUUUUGAGAGAAUUUUGCUGUCAACUUUGAGACCCUAUAUUGCAACAAAAUAUUCACUAGCGUGACAGGACCAGAGGCAUUUAUGUAUACCAUGUACAGUGUAUACAAUCUAAGUACAUUUUUCAAAUAAAAUUAUGUCAUUAAACCAUAUAAAUAUUACACUACAUGUACACCUUUUCUUUUAAAAAAAACAUGUUUAUAUUUAAAAUAUGAAAAAUUAAACAAAAGUGAAAUAAUGCCUGGUAAAUCUUCUGCCAGUAGUUUCCUGAAAGUUUUAAAGUGGAUACCUGGCCUAUAAAAUUGAGAAUGGAAAUGGGGAAUGUGUCAAGGAAUCAACAACCCGACCAUAGAACAGACAACAGCAGAAGGUCACCAAAAGGUCUCAAUGCAGCGAGAAAUUCCUGCACCUGGAGGCUUCCUUCAGCUAGCCCCUGCAGGGUUGUUACGAUUAAAACAAUAAAUAUAGAAGGUCCUAUAAUAACACAAAUUUUUUUUAUUGCGAAAAUGCAACAGGGUUAUAAUCGCAAUGAUUAAAACUUGCAUUUUAAAAUUUUUUAAAUGAAUUAAACAGGAUUUUUCUCAAUAUAUCGCAAAGAUAAAAAUCGCAUUUAAGUCUUAAAUGACAAUGAAUGACAAGAUUGCAAUUAUAAGUGCACCCAAUAAUUUCUAAAUUUACAGUAUUUGUUGAUAUUUGAUUUUGUGUGUUUACCAAACUGCAUGCAAACCUAGGUUGGUAAGGCUGGGACAUAUUGUCUUUACACUUUUUAUGCUGUUCAGAGGUUCAGGUACUGAAUUAAUAGCCUUUUGCAGUAAAUAUAAAUCCUAAAACUUACAAAUUUAGACCUCUAUGAGUCAAAAGCAGAUUCAGACUUAUUUAUGUCUGAGCUCUGACUGUGAAAUCUACUCACACUGUUAGGUUGUUCCUUUAUUAUUUGAUUUGAAAUUGAGUUUAAUAGCUAUAUAGGUAAAAAAAUUCUACUUUUCACUUACAUUGACUUUAUUUCAGUGUUACUAAAGUAAAAUAGAAAAUGUCUGGAGUUCCUGUUUAUCUGAAAGGACGUGGCAGGGGCAGAGGUCGUGGAAAUGUAGAACAAAACAAAGCUCAAUGGACAAAUGGCGGUAACUCUGAAAACAAUGUCAAGGACAAUGGAUGGAAAAAUGGUGUUGCCAGCAAACAACCAAAAAAUGAAAUAUCGCAGACCAGUAUCAAUAGUAUGUUUCCCUUUAGCAAUGUUUAGGUUAAACAUAAAAAUAAGAAAAUGUGAUAUGAGUGCCAAUGAGACAACUUUCUAUCUAAGUCACAAUGUAUAAAAAGUUAACAAUUGUCUUUAGAAGAAAGUAAGGACUUCAACCAUUUGUCAACAUGGAUCCUUGACUCAUUCUGAACAGCAAGUUAUAAAUAAGAUAAAGAGCCCCAAAGUGACUUGAGUUGUGUAAAAUAAUUCAAACAGGAAAGUUAAUGGUCUGUUUAUAUAAAAAAAAAAGAGAAACACUCCUUUCAGGUUAAAUUUUUUGGUCAAGGUAUUUUUUGAUAAAGUUAAAGUCCAAUCAACUUGUUCCUCAUGAUAUGAUCUUUCUAAUUUUAAUGCCAAAUUAGAGUUUUUACCCCAAUUUCACAGUCCAAUGAUCAUGAACAUAGAAAAUGAUAGUGCGAGUGGGGCAUCUGUGUAUUUGGGACUCAUUCUUGUUUUUUAAAGUGAUAUUAUUUUUUUUUAGAUAAACUCAGUGUAGAUGAAGCUCAGAAGAAAUUUGAAGCUGUAAGCAGCAAGCAUCAGCAGGCUAUACAGAAUGUUUUGGAAGAAUCUCAGUUCUCUGACGACGAAGAAGAAGGAGAUAUUGGUGAUAAUGUAUUAUCAACAGUCUUCAAGUCAUAUUCAGAUACUAUAGGCAAGUGUUGGCAGAUCCUUCCCCCUUUUUUUUUAAUUAUGUAAUCGUUUCAUGGAACCCACUUUCCAAAAUGGUUUGAUCUGCGUUUGGUGUAACGGAAAGAUUUGAUCAUCUGUCAUAUCAGUUUAUGGACUCAUGAAAUAAAUAUAACAAACUGUGGAUUGGGGUACUACUAAUUGUUGUGGACUUGGUGAACACAGGUAAAUCAGGUAUUGAAAUGUUUAACAACCAGGGCUCACGCUACCAGGCGACUUGGGCGAAGAAGUCGCCUUCCCGACCGUCACUUCGCUUUCCUCGACCCCCAAAAGCGAAAACAAGUCGCCCUGUUCUUGACGACAGUCGCUUUCAGUCGCUUCCGUCAUCGGACAUUUUCAAUUUUUACCAAGUUGAUGAAACAUCAAAUUUUUAUUGAUAAUUAAAGAAUUUCAGACAUAAACGAUUCAUUAUCUUUUGAAAAGAGGUUGAAGCAUUGUCUUCGCAGUGUGUAAGCAGGUUAUUUGAUAAAAAUACAACUUUUAUCACUUCGUGCAUUUCUGCAAGUACCGGUGCUUGUUACUCGAAAACGUACAUCAACCUCAAUUUCGGCGGCAAAAUAAGUUUGUUACUUCAUUUAAACGUGAUAAAAGUUGCCUCCAGUAAAUUUUUAAUCCAUAUUGCAUUAAAAACGUCAUGUUUUCUUCCAAAUAACUUGUCAAACAUCGUUUAUUUGUAAAUUUUCUUGCAUUUGUCCGCCAUUGACCGAUUUCUAAUCUACGGAUCUGAACCGGAUCAGCUAUGACCGAAAUCCGUACUUUUACAAUAAUUACUACGGACGCACGGAUGGAACAGUGACAGAAGAAAUCUUGAUCCCAAAGGGAAAAAUUACGCAUUCCACACGCAUUAAGAGACUUUUGGUUACAUCUAAUUGAUUGGUGUAUAUAAUUCCUUAUAUUUUUUAUGGAUUGUUUCAAACUAUUGAUUAAAGUUACUUAACUCUGAGACUAUUAUACUAAUAUCAAUAUAUUAUGGCCCAGCUUAAUAACUUUUAUAUUUUUUUUAUGAGAAACACUGAAUGUCAUACACGAGGUAAUUUUUAAUUAAAUUGUAAUUGAUAUAUUAUAAUUUCUUUACAUUUUUUUAAAGAUUUUUUAUUUUUUUAGUGCUAGAUAUUUAGUUGGUAGUUUCUCACAAGCUUAAACAACUUUUAAUUUCAAAUGUACUUUAUUGUAAUUUUUUUACUCAGAUAUGAAUUGAACAGUAUAAAAAAAACAUUAUUUACAUAUAUGGCCCUUUAUACUAUUGUAAAAUCCAAACAUUGUAUCGCACAGCGCGAAUGAGCACUUCUCUUUCAAAUCUCACCACUUCUCCCUAUCAGUUUCAAAAAGAGAAGUCACUUCUCCCUAUUAUUCUGAAGUAGUGUGAGCCCUGACAACAUAAUUUUCUUAAGACUUGAAUGCAUGCAGAUGUUAGUAAACACAUGAAAUUAAGUACAUUGUAUCAACAAGUACAUGAUUUUUCCUCCGUCCAUCAAAAUUCAUUCCUACAAAUCGUCAGUCAUGACAGUAGGAAGCAAUAAAAAUUUCUGCUUAAAUCCCCCAAAGCCACUACAAAAACCAGAACAAAGAGAAAAGUCAUACUCAUUUCAUCAGGUUGUAGAUUGGCCAUAUAACCAUUAAAGUAUAAAACAGACAGAUAAACAAAAACACCCAGUGUUCUCCCCAGGCCCUUAAAGGACCACGGGCCCGCGAUGUAUAAUUUUCUACCGUGGUGGUAUCGUUCUUGCCGCGAUGUAUAAUUUUUCACCGUGGUGCUAAAAUUUUUAGUAAAAAAGAAUCAUUAAUCGGUAAACCUUUCCGUGGGGUAUUAAAUUUCAGAUGAAAAUUGACCAGUUCAAACCAGUUCAAUCCAGUUCUGACAACGGAGAUUGUUUACACCACGUGGUCGAUUUACCUUUUGAGGUUAACCUUGCUGAUUGGAUUUAAUCGAUAUACAUGAUUCUUGUGUUUAAUUAAUUAAGAGAUCAUAACUUAAUGAUCACAGACUUAUGAGACUUUUGAGGGACAAGCAGACAUUUGUUAAUUAACUCUAUUACUCCAGCCUUUGGUCAUAAAUGAUUUCCGUAUAAAAUACGUGAGUUACUUCCCCUGAUUUAGCUUAUUACAAAAAUGUGCUCCUAAAAUAUUAUCCAUCAUUUAAAAUAGAAAUAAAGUACAAAUUGAAUGCAAAAUUAUAUAAGGAUUUUACCUCAAGGAUAAAAACUUUCUUUGAAAAUACCAACAAAAAUAUAUUGCAAAUUAUUUUUGACAAUCAUACUUUAAUUAAAGCACAGACAUUUUGUAUUAAAUAAGUAGUUAUAUUUAAACAAGGUUGAUUAAAUCUUCCAUUUGAUAUAUAGCUAAAUAGUAUUAAAGAAGUGCAAAUAUAAAAGAAAUAAAUAAUUUUACAGUGAUUGGAUCUCAGCUAGACAUGAUAACAAUUAUGUGUGUCCACAUAGAUAAUAUAAGUAUACUUUUCAUGUCUAUCAUGAAAUAACACAAGGAUUCUAAUAAUAAUUUUAUUGAUGUCUAAAAGAAUCAUGUCUAAAGCUAUGGAAAAUAGUAUUUAAUUUAUUAAAGGUUCUGCAUUAAAAUUUAAUCUUGUUUAAAGUUAAUUGUUAUGGUGUAAUCUAACAAAAAUGGGGAAUGUGUAGUGUAACUACAAGUAUCAGGACAAAAUUGGCUUGAUCAAAGUAUAAAAGUGACUAGUUUAAAAACUAAAAGUGCUUUCUGUUAUUUAUUCUUAAAAGAUAUUAAAGUAUACAAACUGUUUGAUUUACUUUUUUUUUUACCAGUAUUUUUUUUCACCAAAGUCUACAUAACACAGUAAACAAAACAAAAGACAAAAAGGUAAUGGCACAAAAACUAACAAAAAGAAAAAAUAAGCGAUGCAACGUGACACAACAUUUUGUACAAAUCAUUUCGACACGCGUUACCCUGGUGCUAUCCAAAAAUCCUGGGGAGAACACUGACACCCCUUUCUGAUCCCAAUUUGAACAUGAUAUAUUUUUUAUUUAAUAUUAAUGAUUAUUUAUUAGAUACAUAAAAAAUUUAGUAAAAGUACUUUGAGCUUUUUCAUAAAAAAUGAGCUUUCUUUUUUAUGGUAUAGUUGUAUUCUCGACUUCUAAUUAUGAAUAGAAGUCGAUACACACUAUUGAAUUUUAAAAGUAGAUUAUAAUCAUGAUGAUAAAUUACUUUAUUUAUCAGACCAUGGUGAGGAUGAAGAGAAGGCCAGAGAAGAUAUGAUGUACUCCUUUAGAUCAGGGACAUCUGCUUGUCUUGUGUGUAUAGAGAAUAUCAAGAGAGAAGAAGCAGUAAGUUUUUGUCAGGUUUUCUAUAUAUGUAUAUGUAUAUAUAUAUAGAAAAGGCUUUUCCAUUUAAAGUGACAUUUUGAAUUCUGUAGGCAGUUAAAUUUAUAACAACAGAAAUCAGUCUGCACCAAAAACUUUUUCAACUACUACAAAAUGUACUAGUCCGAAGACCUAUAUUCCGACAUUUGAGAAAUUUCUUAAAGGGGCACUAGCUGUCAAAUUCAUGAUCACCGAUUUGACUCAAAUUCUCUUAGUUGAUUUACAACAAUGUAAAACAUUUAUCCAAACUAUCAAAAGUCUAAAAUAAACAGUUUACAGAGCAUAGGGUAGAUAAUAUAUAUAGGUUCGUUUCAUGUGUAUUGUAGUCCAGGCGCCAUCUAAUUAACUACCGAUUUGACCUCAGAUGAUAAUAUAAGCGAUGUAAACAUAAAUAAAGAUAUGAAUAGAUUAAACCAACAAGUGCAAUUGGAUUUUUAUAGGUCUGUUUGAUUUUAUUUUAUAGAUUAAAAAUAGAUGUUUCUCAUUGUUUUUAACCGUAUAAGAAUGAUUUUAUGUGCAUCGAAUUAGUAAUCAAAUGAUUUACCGUAGCUUCACUUUCAUUGUUGACAUUCUUUUUCUUUAAAUAACCAGUACACGUACAAUGCAUGCAUUGUCAAUCUCUAUUUAGGGGUUAAAUUGAAGUUCACAUGAAUACGGAUUUAAAGAGGUCGACUCAUUCACUUGCAAGUGAAUAACUAAUUAUCAAUGUUUCUUAGCGUAAUUUGACAAAAUUUAACCUUUUUGGCUGCAAAAAAAGCGAAUUGUUAUUUCACUAUUUCACUUUCAUUAUUGAUUGAACAAAAAAAAAUCAAACUUUAGAUUUUUUAUAUAUCUCGUAGCUAGUGCCCCUUUAAGUAGUUACAUGUAAUAUAUGUUUAAAGUUUCUUGUAAAUUAAGACAAACUUCUGUAUAUAAGCAGGGGAACAAUUCUUAUAAAGUUAUUGAUUUUAAAAUCAUAUUCAGUAAUUUGAAAAUGAUCAAAAAUAAUAAAGAAUAUGGGGUAUCCAUCUACGAAACAAAAUCUGAACAAACAGAAAAAACACAAAGAAACAGCUCUGUAAUUGCAGAGUCACAGUGCAGCCUUCAAUAAGGAGCAAAAACUCUCACUUUACUGGUCCAUUUGUAUCUAGCAUUUUCCAUGUUAAAGACACUUUGUUUUUGUUCAUUAUAAAUAAACUCAUCAUAGAUACCCAGGACUAAAUUUUGUAUAUAUACGCCAGACGCGCGUUUUGUCUACAAAAGACUCAUCAGUGAUGCUCGAAUCCAAAAAAGUUAAAAAGGCCAAAUAAAGUAUGAAGUAUAAUUAUUUCAUCAUAAUCUCUCUGCUUUUUAACUAUAGAUAUGGAGUUGUAAAGUGUGCUAUGCCAUGUUUCAUAUACCCUGUAUACAGAAAUGGGUCAAAGAAGGAGUUUAUCAGCAAGUGUACAAAUCAGAUGAGAAUAUUGAUGCCAAAUCUGUACCGUGGCACUGGUAAUUUAUUUUAUUUAGAAUCAACCACAGUACACACCCUUAAGAAAAUUAACAAACUUACAUUACAUAUUUACCAUUGAGCUACUGAUUAUAGGUUUUUGGACUAUUCCAUAAAAGUGUAUUUGGGGGUAGGAAGAGAAGUUUAAUUAUUUAUUGUGAGUCCUGGGUCCUUUCUCAGUAUGAAACUUUUACCAUUAUGCAAAAUUAUCAAGAAAAUGGUUCUUGGUUGUUACUUGUAGGGAUAUUGAGGUAAUUUAAAAAGUGUGCUUGUAUGAUACUGUCUUCUUACCAGCAUUAUAAUCAUUACUAUAGAUGGAAUGAAAAGGAAAUCACAAAUCUGCAUCAUUUUCUAUGCAGUAUAAAAAGACCACAAUCAGUAGAAAUAAUCUUUUUGCAGAAUACUGUGCAUUCAUUUAUUUUUCAUGCAUACCAUUUUUGUGGAUCAAGAAAAACUUGUGUAUUCGUGGAUAUUUUCAAUUUGUGGUUUUGCUAAAAUCUGCAUAAAAUUGAGAAUUCCAAUAGAAAAUCUAUAAAGGAGUAGGUCCGGUAAGGCCACUUUUUGGCCCAAAAAUAUAACAGUUUUACAAAAUUGGUAAAAUGCAAACUUUUAGUUAUUUAUUGGACAGUUGAAUGCUUCUGCUACAUAAAUAUGGGCUGUUUUUGACAAUACAAUGCACAUAUAUCGGGUUGUAGCACCAUUAAGUCAUGCUAAAUUACUGAAAUCUUCAAAAUUCUAUCAUUUUAGGUAAAUUUUAGACGGUUUCCGUGUAAAACGAAAGUGGCCGCAUUCGUGUUCAUCCUUAAUAUUGCAAUGUAAGUUGUAUUUUAUGAUAAUACAUAACAUAUAUAAAGGUUGUGGAUGAACACGGAUGCGGCCACUUUCAUUUUUGACAAAAACAAUCUGAAAAAUGACGUUUUUUGGCAUAUUUGAGAGAUUUUUCAUAUUUGAGCUUCAAUCGGAUCGUUUUUAAUGACUUAAUCAGUUAAAAUCUUUCACAUAAACUAAUUGAAUCAAGUGAAAUAGACACUUAAGUGUUUAAAAAGUGGUCAAAAUCUUUCGUCAGAUGAAACUGAAAUUUGAGGCCAAAAUGAGUCCUUACCGGACCUACUCCUUUGUUAAACCUUUAAAUUUGUUGUUCCCCUAUACCCACGAAAAUUAGUAGUUAACGAAUAUUUAUAAAUCCACAGUAUGUUAAACCGUGCUGUUCAACUAAUAUGACCUCUGCAAAUGCCAUUGUAUUUUAUGCCCCAACUACGAUAGUAGAGGGGCAUUAUGUUUUCUGGUCUGUGAGUCCGUUCGUUCAUUCGUUCGUUCAUUUGUUCGUCUGUUCGUCCGUUUGUCCCACUUCAGGUUAAAGUUUUUAGUGAAGGUAGUUUUGGAUGAAGUGGAAGUCCAAUCAACUUGAAACUUAGUAUAUAUGUUCCCUAUUGUUUUUUUUAUAGUUAUGUGUUUUGUUGUUUUUUCAUUUACAAGCAAGGAAUGAAAAAUCAAUAAAAUUAGUAGCUGUAUUGGCUAUAAUGAAAAAGAAUAGAUUUUUUUCUCAUAUUUUGGGAAAUUGAACAGCUGUGAUGUAUAGAACAGCUUUUUGAUGUAGUUUGUUUACCAUGUGCAUGCUGUUUUAAUUUUAAUUUUGGCAAAAGCCACAUGGAAUUUGAGAAAAAUCAAGUCUUAUUCCCUUUCGGAUUUUUAUAAUGAACUUAUAUUGUAAAAGCUCAGGGUUGAUUAUUUUAAAAACUUUUCUUCAAAAUAUUAGAACAUCUGGUUUGAAAACACAGUUAUUGUCCCUAUCGUUGAUAAUGUGUUACUAGAAUACUAGCAAAUUUUUCUCAUACCCCUUCCAAAUUUUGUUCUUCAUGUUUUAUGCCUUAAACAGCAAGAAGGGGAUGAAAUUACACUAAAACAAUUUGGGUCAUAAAUUUUGAAAUUAAAAUGGUUAUUUGGUACAGCUGAAAAUUUUUUAAAAUAAGCAUUACAGAAGCUGUUAAAAGACCCCUUUAACAUAAAUUGUCCAUAUUUUCAGUUAAAGCCUAGUAUGUAUUUUUCUAAAAUUUUUAUUUCCUCUUUAAAAAGCAAGUAGGGGUGCAAUGUGAAUUUGAUUUAAAUCUAUGAACAGGAAUUUGACAGCUAGUGCACCUUCAAGGCAGUAUCUAAUCACAGUAAUUUAGGUUAUGUAGAGUUAUCUCCCCUUAUAUGGUUGAUUUUUAAAUUUCAUUAAUUUUUUUAUAUAUCUGUCUCAUAUCCUUGAUAAAAUACAAUAAAAGAAUAGAUUAUACUUUAUAAACAUGUUUUUUUUGAUUUUUUAUACAACAUAUGAUCAAUUAUUUGAGAAAUUUUGAUGAUUUUAUUACAGAAAAUAACCUUUAUUUUAAAAUAUACAAUUUUUCAAACAUAUAUAUUGUACUGAUAAGAGUAUACUUGUGCAGAUGCUUAGACAUGUCAAUGAAGGUCCGCUGUCCAUUAGUCUAGUUGUUUAAUAAAAAUGUAUAGCUCUUUGACCCAUUGGUAAUGUUAACAGAAGUCUGUGUUUUUAUUAUGGUGAUGUGUAUCUUAGGGGGGAUUAUUAUACAAGGAAGCUAGGAGAAUUUGAUUUGAAAUAUGAAUAUAUCUGUUAGUUGUUUGGCUAAAGAUAUUCCUUUUUUUACAAUUCGUGAUUUUAUGAUUUUGACAAAAUCAGUCACCUGUGUACAUAUACUAAAAAUACCUGUGUAACCUUAUUGUUUUAAUGCAACAAGGCAAAGUUCAUAGUAAAUUCAACUAACCAAAACUCAGUCUAUUGGUUUAAUCUUUUAGUGUGCCACCCAAACUACAAAUUAAAACUUCUACCAAGAAAGUCUAAUUUCAAUAUUCUGUGAGCAACAUAUGCAAAGGGGAAAGGGAAGGAAGGGGGGAUACAGCAGGGGGUUUAAACUGGAAGCCUCUGAGCUUCACACAUAUGCUUAGACGAUGGGCUAUAUUAAAAUGUAAGCCAUACAGCCUUUCUCUGGUUAAAUGUGAUUCUUUUUAAAAGCCACAACACAAAUAUUUUAUGCACUUAGAACCAAAUAAAAGUAUUAUCUAAAACAUAUCUUGAAAGAGGAGAAGAUAAAUCAUUCAACUGUCACCUGUCUAGAUUUAGUAAAACAAUUCUCUGUGAACAAUCUUUAUUACUGCAAAUAAUAACAAUUUAGUAUUAAAAAAAACAAAAUCAUUACUUUCCAUACAAAUUUUUUCACACAAUUUUUAUAAUUUUGAGAUAACUUAUAAGUUGGUGCCCUCUUUUUAAAAAAAAUAUAAUUGUUUAAAUCACAUAGAUGUUUUGACUGUAUCGUUGCAUUUGCUUCAUGAAAUUUCUUUAAAUUUUUGUUGAGCCUUCGACUUUUGUCUGCGAAACCCUUACAAUUUUUUUCUAAAAUUGUUUAAGAAUAGUGUUAAAGAAGGCAAUAAAUUAAGAAUGAAACAAUAGAAAUGAAUCAAAAUGGUAUAUUUGUCAGACAUCUCUAUAUAUGUUUCUGUCGUUAUUGAAGACGAAAUUAAAACCAGAUGUUUUGCGACAAUACUUAAAACCAAGUAAUUCUGGACUCAUUUCCUGGAUUCAUUUUGUUAAUCAUUAAUUGACCGGAAAUCACCAUCAUUUAAAAAAAAAAAAAACUCUGAAAGUGUUUGAAUAUUACAGAUAAUAGAUGCUCUUGUUUUAUUUAGCAUGCAAUCAUUUUGUCUAAUCUGGUGCUUAAGAGAAUUUCACACAUGUAUGCAUAUUUUACAUACUAAAUAAAGCAUGUGUAAUAUUUGUGAAAAAUUAACUUUCUAUGCACCCACCAUAGCAAAGGGGCAUUGAGUUUUACUCAGGUAGGUUAUUGUCUUUCUCCCAAACCAAAUGAGUAAAGGUACAAGUCUAAACUUACACUCAUUGAUUAAAUAUUAUAAAUGAAAUAAAAAAAUGAUUAAAUAUUAUUGUUGAAAUAAAAAAAUGUUUUCAUUCCUAGCAUGCCAUUAUUAAAAUUUAUUGAAGUAAACUGAUCUAUAAAAAGAUAAAUAAAAAAAUCUUACGAAUAUCAUUUAUCCUUUAUAUGAAAAAAAUAUCUGAAAAUAAAUUGUAACACAGAGUAUAUGGAAAUUGCUUUAAUAAGGGUAUACUCCAAAAAUAAAGAAAACACAGGUCACACAAUUUCAUUCUGUGAAAUUUUUUUAUUUUGAAGAGCUGAAACAUUAAAACAUAUAAGCUAGGCUUCAUUUCCUUCAUAAAAAAAUAGAAUUUUUAGCUCACCUUUCCAAAAGGAAAUGUGAGCUUUUGCCAUCACUUGGCGUCCGUCGUCAUCCGUCCGUCCGUCGUCGUAAACUAUUUCAAAGAUCUUCUCCUCUGAAACUACUGAACCAAUUCAAACCAAACUUCAUCUGAUGAUUCCUGGGUAUCUAGAAUAAAGUUUGUGUUUCAAUUCCCAUUUCAAAAACAUGGCCACCAUGGCUAAAAAUAGAACAUAGGGGUAAAAUGCAGUUUUUAGCUUAUAACUCAAAAACCAAAGCUUUUAGAGCAAAUCUGACAUGCGGUAAAAUUGUUUAUCAGGUCAAGAUCGAUCUGCCCUGAAAUUUUCAGAUGAAUCGGACAACCUGUUGUUUGGUUGUUGCCCCUGAAUUGGUAAUUUUAAGAAAUUUGCUGUUUUUGGUUAUAUCUUGAUAUUAUUAUAGAUGUAGAUAAACUGUAAACAGCAAUAAUGUAAUGCUUGGGGUAUACAAUGUUUUUUUAUACUUUCAUCAUAAAUUAUAUUAUGAACACGAGCAAACGAACAUUCCGUGUGUCCACUCUUGUUUUUGGCUUUGAAAAAAUAUGACAGAAUCGAGAAACAUUAUAUUAUUGAAAACCAAAAUAAUCAUUCAUGGAAGAUUUAAGCAAAAAAUUUAAGGUGAGCGAUUCAGGCUCUUGAGAGCCUCUUGUUUAAUUAUAUUAUUUUAAUUUAACCCACACAUAUGUAAUGAGUAAAUUUGCCUUUAUUUGAAAAGAUGCAAUAAAGGAAAACAUUUCUCUGUAUAAAACAAAUACUUUUUGAAAUGUUAUGCAGAGUUUUUUCCCUUUACAAUGAGGAUUUUAAAAUUUUGUUACAGACGUUAUAUCGCUAUCUAAAACCAUUAAUGAAAUACAGAUUAAAAUUAAAUGUAAUUAUAGAUAUAUUUUUUCUUUAAAAGGAUUAAGAAGAAAUCAUGGUUUCAGGAAAGUUUGCUACAUCUUUUUCAGUUAAUGACCUAUAUAAUAAGAUCUUCAAGUUUAAGAACUGUUUAUAUAAGUCUUACAUUAUAAAGUAAGUGCAGACAUACUAGCCAUUCUGUUAUCCGAAACCAUUGAAGUUUGAUGUCACUAUAAUAAAUAUUUCCAUGGUUUCACUCAGUGACAACAAUUGUAAACUACAAAUCCACUAUGAAUAAGAUAUGAAUAUGAUAAUGACCGCCUAGCUCUCCUAGGACUCCCAGCAAAUGCACAUUGGUUAGAUUGUCUGUGUUUUGUAAUUUAAAGUGUGAGUGAAAUAGCACAAUAUUAUACAAAUGUUAUUUUUUUAUUAUCCAUUAGAGCUUAAAAAGAGAGGCAAAAGAAACAAAAGGAACAAUCAUGUUUAACUCGUAAAAUUGUGGAACUGACAAAUCUUUAUAAGGGGAAUUAUUAAAAAUCUGAUCAAACAAUUAAACUUAUCUUUUUCUUACUUUUAUAUACAUGAUGUUUAUGUUAUAUAAUUACCAGAUUUUUGUUGCUGUCUAUCAAAACAUAGGCUGCUCAGUCAGUCUCAUUAGUAAAUAUUUAAUUAUUUUACAAUUCAUUCUGUACAGAGUGGAGUACUAUUUACUUAUCAAAGCAAGAAUUUUCUGGUCAUUGACAAUAUUAUUCUUGGAAAUACAAUUGAGAAACAGUGAACCUAGAUGAACUCCUUUGAAAUAAAAUGUUCAGGUCCAGUUCAUUCACACCAUCAUGGUACUUCCCUGUUACCAUUACUCUUGUUACUGCUAAUAGUUUUCUAAUAUUUUGAUUAAAUGGACAAUUUUUGAUUAUUUGAGAAAUAAUUUUGAAGUUGAUUGACAGUUUGUACAUUACAGCAGUAUAUAGACAAAAAGAUAUAUUUAAAUUUGGAUGCAUUAUUAUUAUUAUUGUCCUGUAUAAGUAUGUGGUAUUUAUUUGAAUAGUCAGGGUAAAAUUAUACCCCCACUUUAAAAAUAUACUGUUUAACUCUGUCUGCAUGUCAUGCAUCCAUCUUUCAGUCAUCCAUCCAUCCAUUCAUCCAUUCAUCCUUCACUCUGUCCGUCCCAUGAAUAUUUUUUUGUAACAUUUUUCUCAGGAACUACGUCUACUUGACAAGGAUUUCUGAAAUUUGGUUAUAUAAGUCAAGUUAUACCGUGUGAUGGAUUUUUAGAUUCAUUCCUCAACAAUUUCCUGUUAAACCAACACUUUUAUCAUUUUACACAUGAUAGCCAAGUUGAAUAUUUUCGGCCCCACCUUUGAUAUUAGAUGGGCAAUAUGUUUUCUGGUCUAUGUCUCCAUUUGUUCAUCUGUCCCACUACAGGUUAAAGUUUUUGGUCAUGGUAGUUUUGGAUGAAGUUUAGUUCAAUCAACUUCAAACUUAGUACACAUGUUUCCUAUAAUAUGAUCAUUCUUAUUUUAAUGCCAAAUUAGAUUUUUGACCCCACUUUCACCAUCCACCGCCAUGGCUUAAAAAUAGAACAUAUGGUGAAAAGUGUAGAUUUUGGCUUAUAACUCCGAAGUUAGAGCAAAUCUGACAUGGGUAAAAUUGUUUAUCAAGUCAAUAUGUUAUAUAAUCUGCCCUGAAAUUUUCUGUUGAAUAGGACAACAUGUGUGUUGGUUUGCCGCCCCUGAAUUGGUAAAUUUAAGAAAAUUUUGCCCUUUUCAGUUAUUAUCCUGAAUAUUAUUAUUGAGAUAGAGAUAAACUUAAAACAGCAAUAAUCAGCAAAAUGGUGUUAUUGCCAUUUAUAGUCAAUUUUAACAAUUUUCAUAAAUUUUGUAAAUUUUUGUAAAUUUUUACAAAAUGUUUUUCUCUCUACCUACUGGGCAAAGUGCAUUAUAGAUAUAUAUAUAUAUAUUGUUAACAGCAAGAGUGUUCAGUAAAGUAAUAUCUACAAACACAUUACCAUCACCAAAACACAAUUUUGUCAUGAAUCCAUCUGUGUCCUUUGUUUAAUAAUUGCACAUAGACCAAGAUGAGCGACAGAGCCUCUAAAGUUUAGAAUUAUAUAAACUAUACAUUACAGUUUUGGCUGAUUUUUUUCUCUCAAUCAAUACAUUAGUUGCCAAUUAAGUCUGUAUACUAAAUAUUAAUUUACAAAUUACAUAAAAUUUAUAUAUUGCUGUAAUUGGGGAUUUCGUCCCCAUAUUAUUGUGAUUUCCUCAUUUACAACUAAAAUGUGAUUUUUUAUUUUUGCAAUAUUGAGAAAAAUCCUGUUUAAAUUAUAUUAAAUAUUUCAAAAUGCGAGUUUAAAUUAUUGCGAUUAUAAACCUGUCGCAUUUUUAGCAAUAAUGAAAACAUGGCAAUAUAAUUUCUGAAUAUACAGUAGUGUAAGACUUUUUCUCUUCUAGAAUGUCAAAAAUCCUGCUCAACAUGUUCUCAUUCCAAAUAUGCUUAUAAUUUGUCAUUGCUCGUAACUCUGCCAUUGAAAAUCCUAUUAGAAGAAAUUUACUUUAAACGACAAUGAAAAGGUCAAUAUAAAAAACCAUAUAUAUUAAAUUUAUUGUUUUAUUUCAGUAUAAAGUUGCUUCUAGCUUGAGCUGGUAAGGUCAAAGCGAGAAAAGCAAUAGAGUUGAGAUGACCAAUGAUAAUCUGUUUAUCCCUAUUUUACCUAUGAGGACGUUGAUAAUUUCAUGACAAUGGGCACAUGUGUGCUUAGUUUCUAGCAAUAAUUUUCAUAUUAUUAGACUCCACUUUAAAUAAUUAUCAGUCUGCAAAAUCAAAGUAAUAUUUCGUAAAAUAGCAAUAAUAUUAGAUAUAAAAAUGUAUAAAUUUAAAACGAUUUUAAUUUUUAUCACGUUAUCUUAGUGUUGAUUUUAAUUUGUAAAUAAUCAACUUGCUUUAGUCUAGAAUUUUAGUUUAAUGAAGGACCUUUUGUCUGAUUUUAAAGAUUUACUUUAAAUUAUAAAAAUAUUCGAAUGAGCUCUUGCGGCGAUAUAGCCUUUUUGUGUUAAUGUGACGUGAAGCAAACAACAAUCAAUCAAUUAAAAAAAUGUACAUCAGAUUCUGUAAAAGCUUUUAUAUACCCCAAUAACAUUAAAAAAAGAAGCAUUUAAUUUUUGAAUAUACAUUUUUUUUACCAGAUUGUUUACAUCAAUCAAAGCAUAUUUUGUACAUUUAACAUUGUUUAAUGUCUAUUUUAAAUAUUUAUUUUACAAUAAUUUGUGUACAGAUUGGAAAAAUGUCAGGUUGAAAAUAGCAUUUAAUUUAUGUGAACUAGGUUGCUCUUUGCCUUUAGUGUACAUCCUAUGUUAAUCAAUGUAUCUGAACACUGUGAUAAGACAAAAAUACAGAAUCUGUUGAAUAUUUUCUAUAAAUUUUGGAUGUUUUCAUUAGCCACAGAAACAAGUGUGAAAGCAAGGUGUUAAAUACAAAUGCAUUAUUAUCUACCCUUGCUACUGUAUGUGGUAUAGAAAUAGAAAAGUUUGAUAUUUAGGGCAAGCAGUGUUCAGUCUGUACAAAUUAUGAAAGGACUUAUAAUGGUUUAAAAAUUACAAGGUACAGUAGUAAUUUAUUAUGGAUAUUAAUAAUAAUUGAUAGAAAAACUGCAAUGUUUAAUUACAAUUGUUCAGAUGAAGUUGUUGAAAUUUUGUGAAAUAUUUGAGCAGUCAAUUUUCCAGAUUUCAAAAUUAUUUCAGAUUCAAAUAAUUCCUUGUUUAAUAAAUUUUGAUGCAAAACUGCUGAUACUAAUCUUGUUAAUUUUGUUCAAGUCAGGCGCGGAUCCAGAGGGGGGGUUCCGGGGGUUGGAACCCCCUCUUGUUUUGGCCGAUCAAUGCAUUUGAAUGGGAGCAUUGGGAACCCCCCCCCUUUAAAAAUGGCUGGAUCCGCCCCUGCAAGUACAUAUCAUUUAGGUAGUAGUGUGAAAUUGUGAUAUAAUGGGAUAACAAGUGCCUCAUGCCACAAAGAUUAACAAAAUAUGAAGUCAAAAAUUUUUUCUACUUCCUGUUUGCUAUUUGUUUACAAGUCUGCACAACUUCCAGUAAACAGGAUAAUCUUCCUGGUUUGAUUUUUAUUAUCCCCAAAUAAAUGCAACAUGUUUUUUAAAUCUAAAUGUUUCAAUUCAACUUAAACUUUUUAUCAAACAGAAGAAAAAAAAUAUCAGAAAAAUUGGACUAUUUUACUUUCACUCUAUCUUGUCAUAUCUAUGCAGAGUUAUUUCCCCUUAUACUUUUGCCAAAUUUCUUCAUUGUUCUUAUAUCUCUGUCUCAAAUUGUUUUAAAAAAGUAUACAUUGGAAUUGAAUUUGCUUUUAAAGAUAUGUGUAAAAAAAUAUUUCAGAAAUAAACAAGUAUUUAUGAAACUUUGCUAUAUUCAUAUCGGUUAAGGACCUCUAUAUCUUGAGGGACAAUUUAAGUUAACCAUAUAUAAGACUUAUCUGAAGUAGAAACUGCAGACUCACUAGCCAUAGUGUUACAUACGAGCUACACCUUCACCAGCUGAUAAACACUGGGUUAGAGGGGUGUGAAAUGCCGUAUGUGUACAUAGUUGCUGUUCAGUAUUAUAUAUUAUGUAAAUAUUGUAAAAAUGCUCAAAAUAUAAGAACCUACCUCAACAAAUGCACUAUGGUUUAAAUUGUCUGUGUUUUUGCAAAUUUGAAAUGUGAUGGAAUCAUCACUAUGAUAAAAGUUUGUAUCUUAAUUGUUCAUUAUUGCUAUAUAAGUAUUGGUUGAUCAGUGUCUAUGUUUGAUGGUCAGAGCUUUUGUAUACUAUAUAUUUAUAACCAAAAAAACUUUUGUAAACUAUGUCGAAAAAAUUUGUAUAUAUUGCUAUAAAAUUAUCAACCUAGUUAUUCAUAUUGAAUUUGAUCAUUUAUGUUGUAUGUGCACCUCCUCCUUCCUAACUCUGACUUUAGAAACUUCCAUACAGCGGGUUAUUUUUGCGGAUGUAAAAUUUCGCGAUAAACCUUGAAUAAGGAAUUUAUUUUGGCAAUGUUGUUCUAUCGGCGGAAAUUUUCACCCUGCGAAAAUAACCCGCUCGCUAUACGGUAUGUGUUGCAUAACUAUUAUGUUUAACAGGUAAACAGUAAUACGUUUAUAAUUUGUCAUUGCUUGGAAUUUCGCCUUUGAAAAUCUUUAUGUUAGGAGGAAUUUUUCUUUUAGCGAUAAAAAGAGCCUUCAAUUAAAAAUGACCAUAUAUCUAAAUUUAUUGUUUUAUUUUCAGUCCAAAGUGCAGGACAGAGUUCUCACAGAUCGAGUGCCCAACCAGAUACACAUGUUUUUGUGAGAAGGUUAUAGAACCAAAGUUUGACCCAUGGUUAGUGCCACAUUCUUGUGGCCAGACUUGUGGCAAAAAGUUAAAACCAGAGUGUGGCCACACAUGCUUACUUCUUUGUCAUCCAGGUAAUGAAAAUAUUUAGAGAUUAUAAAAAUAUUUAUGUUUAGAGAUUAUAAAAAUAUUUAUGUUUAGAGAUUAUAAAAAUAUUUAUGUUUAGAGAUCAUUAAAAUGUUUAGGGAUUAUAAAAAUAUUUAUGUUUAGAGAUUAUAAAAAUAUUUAUGUUUAGAGUAUUUAGUUUAGAGUUAAAUUUAGGGAUUAUAAAAUAUUUAUGUAGAUAUUAACCCUUUCCUCCAUUAAAAUUAUUUUUUAACACACUUGAUUCACAUAGGAUUUUUUCUAAAAAAAAAAAUCAUCAGGUUUAAAGUAUUAACAUGCAUUUGUAAAACAUGUAUUUCAUCAAUGAAAUUCAAGUCAGAUAUUCUCAUGAAUAUCCUUUUUAUAUUAGAUACAAAUAUUAUUAAGUCUGAUUCAGAUUUGUCUUAGGUAAGACGUUUCAACUGAGGCACUACACAGGCAUCAAAAGGCGUCAUUAUGGAGUAAAGGGGUGGCGUCAAAAGGCGUCAUUAUGGAGGAAAGGGUUAAGAUGUUUAGGGAUUAUAAAAUAUUUAUGUUUAGAGAUCAUUAAAAUGUUUAGGGAAAAUAAACACAUUUAACCAAUCUUCCACGUAUCGAUCUCAAAUGCAUGAAAGAAAAUACCAAAGGGACAAUCAAUACCAUAUUUACCAAUAAAAAACAUAACCAAAACAAAAUAGAUGAAGAGGCAGACAGCUGUCCUCAAACUACAAAUUAGAAAAACUGAAUAUUGAGCAACAUGAUGCCCAACAAAAUAAUCAAGGAUGAAAUCAGGUGCUCUGAAAAUUUCUGCUCCUCUACUGAUAUUCACCAUGUUACUUAUAUUUAAAAUGUUGAUAAGUCAAUCAUAUCCAUUUCUAAAGAAUCUCAUAUCAGUGGAUUGUCACAUGCCUCUUGUAUAACCUUAAGAGAUCACCAAAUUCAUAACCCAUGGGUACUAAUGGGUUGUUUUAACCAUAGACAUUGACCAUAGAUGAAAGUUUGUAAGGUAUGAAGGUUUUUGAGGAUAGAAGCCUGUAAGAAAACACGACAAGAUUAAUAUCUAAUGCAACAGUUUGUACGUCAUUUUGAUUGGAUAACUCAUUUCUUACAUGGCAUCAUUGACAAUUGAUGCUAUGGGACGUACGCGCAAGCGUAGACGGCAUAUAACAGAUUUUAAAUAUAUGUUUUAACGUUGUUUUCUGUCAGUUUCAUUUUAGAUUUGAUGGUCGCAAAUACUCGUUUACUGUCUCCGUAACGGUCCCAGUAAACUUAAUUUGCGACCAUCAAAUCCCCAAUUGAUGCCGUCGGAGCUUAAAAUACAAUACAGUUAUCUCCUAAAUAAAAUAAAAUAAAUCAUACAUUGUAUGUUGAUAUUCAAGAUUGCGACUUUUAAGUUUUGUUUUUGUAAAACUUCAAUUAUGAACAUGAGGUGUCUUAUCUACAUAAUAAAACAAACAAAAACUCAUCUAAUAAAGGAGUAGGUCCGGUAAGGGCGCAAUUUGGCCUCAAAUUUCAGGUUCAUCUAACGAAAGAUUUUGGACACUUUUUAAACACUUAAGUGUCUAUUUCAAUUGAUUCAAUUAGUUUAUGUAAAAGAUUUGAACUGAUUUAGUCAUUAAAAAUGCUCCAAUUCAAGCUUAAAAAUGAAAAAUCUAUCAAAUAUGCCAAAAACAUCACUUUUCAGAUGUUUUUUGUCAAAAAUGAAAGUGGCUGCAUCCGUGUUCAUCCUCAAUCUAUAUAUAUAUAUGUUAUGUAUUAUCACCAAAUACAACUUACAUUUCAAUAUUAUGAAUGAACACAAAUGUGGCCACUUUCAUUUAAGACUGAAACCGUUUAAAAUAUAAAUAAAAUGCUAAAAUUGUGAAGAUUUCAGUAAUUUAGCAUGACUUAAUGAUGCUAGUACCCGAUAUAUGUGCAUUGUAUUGUCAAAAAUAUCCCAUAUUUAUGUAGCAGAAGCAUUCUACUUUCAAGUAAAUAGCUAAAAGAUUUCAUUUUCACAAUUUUGUAAAACUGCUAUAUUUUGGGGCCAAAAAGGGGUCUUACUGAACCUACUCCUUUUGGUACACAAAAUGUAUUUGUUCAAGUUCAGCAGUUAACUGUCAAAAUAUUCAUUCACCAACUCAAUGAAUGCUACUUCAUUAUAACAUUAAACAUACUUACUGUCUGAAAAUAAAGGUAAAAAUGAAUUAAAUAUACAAUUAUAUCAUGUUUAGGUCCGUGUCCACCCUGUCCAAAGACAGUUCGUGUCACAUGUUAUUGUCAGAAACAGUCUCCUCAGAUCAAACGAUGUAGUGCCAGGACUUGGUCUUGUGGUCAGCCAUGUGGUCAUCAGCUAACCUGUGGUCAACAUAGAUGUCAGGACCCUUGUCAUUCAGGUAAGAUUGAUAGCAAAGAAGUUUUUGUAUGGUCAGGCUAGGUCUGCACUCACUAACCGUGAAAGGGCUAAACAGCCAUUCAAUUUUGUUAAAUAUACCUUAUCACUAUUUAUCGGCCAUUACUGGACAUCAGUCAUCACAUCCUGUAAAAUUUUGACGUCAUUGAUACAAAUAUUUGAAGCCACAAAAAAAAAAGUGAUUGCUUUUGAGGGCAAUUGUUCAAGCGGCGCAGAUUCUCCGAUCAACCAGGGCAGAUUUCCAAGUAGUGAUAAGUUUAAUCCCACAUAGUAGAAUGUCACCUACAGUUUUUUGUCGAGCCUGCAACUUUUGUUGCAGAAAGCUCAACAUAGGGAUAGUGAUCCGGCGGCGGCUACGGCGGCGGCGUUAGCUCACUUCUUUAAAGCUUUAUAUUUUAGAAGGUGGAAGACCUGGAUGCUUCAUACUUUGUAUAUAGAUGCUUCAUGUUACGAAGUUUCCGUCAGUCACAUGUCCAAUGUCCUUGACCUCAUUUUCAUGGUUCAGUGACCACUUGAAAAAAAAGUUCAAAUUUUUUGUAAUGUUGAAUUCUCUCUUAUUAUAAGUAAUAUGAUAACUAUAUUUGAUAUGUGCGUACCUUGCAAGGUCCUCGUGUCUGUCAGACAAUUUUCACUUGACCUCGACCUCAUUUCAUGGAAUAGUGAACAAGGUUAAGUUUUGGUGGUCAAGUCCAUAUCUCAGAUACUAUAAGCAAUAGGGCUAGUAUAUUCGGUGUAUAGAAGGACUGUAAGGUGUACAUGUCCAACUGGCAGGUGUCAUCUGACCUUGACCUCAUUUUCAUGGUUCAGUGGUUAUAGUUAAAUUUUUGUGUUUUGGUCUGUUUUUCUCAUACCAUAUUCAAUAGGUCUACUAUAUUUGUUGUAUGGAAUGAUUGUUAAGUGUACAUGUCUAACGGGCAGAUGUCAUGUGACCUUGACCUCAUUUUCAUGGUUCAGUGGUCAAAGUUAAGUUUUUGAGUUUUGGUCUUUUUAUCUAAUGCUAUAUGCCAUAGGGCAACUAUAUUUGGUCUAUGGAAAUAUUUUAUGAUCUUUAUGUCAGUCGAGCAAGUGUUAUUUAACCGUGACCUCAUUUUCACGGUUCAUUGCACAGUGUUAAGGUUUUGUGCUUUGGUCUAUUUUUCUUAAACUAUAAGUAAUGUGUCAACUAUAUAAUAUGUUGUAUAGAAGCAUUGUUAGCUGUACCUGUCUGCCUGGCACGGUUCAUCUGACCUGGACCUCUUUUUCAAGGUUCAUUGGUCCUUGUUUAGUUAUUUUGGUUAAUGUUAAGUUUAUGUGACAGUUGUAAUAAAGCUUAGCUUUAUACUUAGGACUAGCAACAUAAUAUCAAUGAUUAGUAUAGAAGGCGAGACAUUUCAGCGUGUGCACUCUUGUUUAGAAUAAAGAUCAUGUGACUGUUGGAACCUCCUCUUACAGGCAUAAGUUGUCUUCAUGUUUAUUUACAAUUGCAUUUUAUAUUUUGUAUGCUUAUGCAUAAACACAGAAAUUAUACAACUAUAGAAUGCUGUGGUUUCAUUAGUAUUUGUAGGAUAUUAAUUAUCAUUGACAUUGUGGGGUUAGUUUCAGUGAAUUACAAUGUACAUAUUUAGAACUGCAAUGCAGUACAAAUUUUCUAUAGGCUUUCAAAACAGACUUUGUCAAAACCAUAAAAUCAAAUAUCCUCCAAAUACAUCUUUUUCUCAAGCAAGGAAAAAUUGGAACACAUAAAAAUAAAUGAAUCUGGAAUUCUAGAAUGUGUGAUAUCAUGAAAAAAAAACUAGAUAUGAGGAUAUCUCUCCACUAUGAGUCUACAAAUUAAUUAGGUGUGUAUUUCAUGGUUUGGAAGUAAUUUCUUGCAUGGUACAGUAAAACAUUAAGAAUUUUUUUUUAAAAAGAAGCAUAUGAAAGAGAGAAAUAUAAAUAAGAAUAGACUUAGGAUAAACUUCAAUGAGACAGCUACCUAACAAAGUUUACAUCAAUAGGUUAGUAGCACCUUCAGUGAUGGUUAGUGGCAGUGAUGGACAGGUUAGUAUGAAUUAGAUUUUUGUGGGAGUGAUUUACUUUGGAACUUGAAUAACAGCCACCAAAUAAAUCAAAACAUGCCCACUUGUAUUUUUGUCCAUCUGAUGAGUUAAGCCUUUUUCAACUGAUUUUUAUAGUUCGUUCUUAUGUUGUACUGUUAUAACCACUGUCCCAGGUUAGGGGAGGGUUGGGAUCCCGCUAACAUGUUUAACCCCGCCACAUUAUUUAUGUAUGUGCCUGUCCCAAGUCAGGAGCCUGUAAUUCAGUGGUUGUCGUUUGUGUAUGUGUUACAUAUUUGUUUUUCGUUCAUUUUAUUUUAGUUUUUUAGUUUUCUCGUUUGAAUUCUUUUAUAUUGUCUUAUCGGGGCCUUUUAUAGCUCACUAUGUGGUAUGGGCUUUGCUCAUUGUUGAAGGUCGGACGGUGACCUAUAGUUGUUAAUGUCUGUGUCAUUUUGGUCUUUUGUGGAUAGUUGUCUCAUUGGCAAUCAUACCACAUCUUCUUCUUUAUACUUAAAUAUAUUCCAAUACUUUACCUUUGCAUUCAAUGGCCAUGAUUAUAAUUGGUAUGUGAUACUGCAAUUAACCGAUAUUUGUAUCAUUUUUUCAGGGGACUGUCAACCCUGUACAAAGACAAGUAAACAGAAAUGUAUGUGUUUAAAAUCAGUGGCUGUGAGAGAAUGUGCCACUCCUCAGUGGCAAUGUGAUGAGGUAAUAAUAUAUAUUUGUGAUUUGUAUUGCGAUCGGCACAAGGCAAUGAGAUUAUGGCAAUUUCAUUGGUGAAAGGGCAAGCAUACUAAAGCUAGAUUUUUUUAGAGAGCUGAGCAGUAUAUAGAUCUAUGGAAUUAUAAUGAAGUGUCUGAAUUCAUUAUAACUACAUCUAGUGCAAGCAUUGAGGCUAAUUCUUAUAAUAUGAUACCAGUGGGUCAAUAUCUUUUAAAUUUAGAUUUCAUUUUUAAACUUUCAAUAAAAGGUUUAGGUUUGACAAAAAUAUUUUGUCAAUUGUAUUAUGACCAAAAUUCAGAAAAUUAUUUAUACAUUUAGCGCACAUAAUUUUCAUUCUAUAAGUUACUUUUAUAUAUUUGUGCAAACAAUAACUUAAUAUUUUGCAGCCAUGUGGAAAGAGACUUGCAUGUGGUAACCAUGUUUGUGAAAAAGUUUGUCAUGGUGGAAAUUGUGGACCUUGUCCAAGAUCUGGACUAAGAAAAUGCCCUUGUGGGAAAACAGGUAAGUCUAGACCAAAGAUGUGCUGUAAAAUAUGGACCUUGUCUAACAUUUACAUGAGAAAACACUGUGAAAUUGUGCAGGAAAAAGUUGACCUUGUCCAAUAGUUGGGCUCACUAAACUCCCAUGUUGAAGAACUAAAAAAAAGGAGAGAAAUAUUAUUUUUUAUCUGCAAUACUAGCAAAUUAUAUACAUACAUACAAUAUAUAUUCAAAAAUAAACAUGUGUAAGUAUAUUAAUUAACAUUCAGCAAAUAUUUCUUUCAUUUAAAUGCACAACAUGAGAAAUAUUUGGAUUGAUUGUAAAAAAGGAUUAAACAAUCAUGAUAACAGUUUUUAUUUAAGAUUUUCUGUAAAAAUAUGAAAUUUUCUUUUUUGAGAUAACAUUUUUGUUCCCAAGUUUGAGAAUGUUUUCUUACUCUCUUUGUUUGGGUUUUGAAUUGUUGGAAAAUAUCUACCCCGAUGAUGAAUCUAAACAAUCCUAUUUCUUUGACAGUAUUUUUAGUUUUGGUUUAACUAUAUUUACAGAGGAUUCACUGCCUUGCACUGAGGACAUUCCAACAUGUGGAGAUACCUGUGGUAAAAUGUUGGAUUGUGGGAUACAUACUUGUCCAGAAAGAUGUCAUACUGGAUCUUGUGGCAAGGUAAGGAUUGUGGGAUACAUACCUGUCCAGAGAGAUGUCAUACUGGACCUUGUUGCAAGGUAAGACCUGGAAAAAAUCAUGUUCAUAUUUUUAUUCAUUGUCGUGUAACAUGUGUAAUCAAUGAACACUCUAACUGACAGUACAACAUGUAGCUUAUUUACAUAAUUAUUUCUACAGCAAAUAGUUGGCAAAUGUCAAAUUUGUAUUCCCUACUUUCAAAUGCAGUUGUAUUAUACACAAAAUAAAUCUAUGAACCACAUGUACUGGUAUGUACUGUAAAUUCAGAUAUUAUUGCGAGGAUUUUAUUAAUGCGAAUAAUGCAACAAGGUGAGUAUUGCAAUAAUUAGAAAUCGCAUGCAGAUAUCUGAUACCUACAUGAAUAAGUAUGCAGAUUUUCCUGAACUCGCAAUAAAUAGUCUUGCAUUUUUGUCCAUUCCUAAAAAAUCGCAAUAAUAAAUACAUGCAAUAAUUUCUGAAUCAAUUGACAAUUUUUUAUACCCACAUUUCUUUGAAUUUUUAAAGCAAUUGCUUUUAUGCUAUCGCGUAUGGCCAUCUUUGUGACCAAUCAGAGACUCCGCCCAUAUCAAGCCAUAGUAUUUUGUUAAACAGGCUCCUGGUCUGUCAUUCUUUAACACCUAUGUAUGUUAUCUAAUGCAAUAAUAGCUUGAAACUUUAAAAAAACGUUAGUGGAUUUAAGAAGUUUCAAAAUAUGUUCUUGUAGAUGUAUUUUUGUAUUUAAAGGGUCAACCGUUUGACUAUCAAAUAACUCAGAAGUCCGAGUGAAAAAAAGUACAUUUUUAUAACUGCGAUUCCGUUUUCCGCCGUUCGUACGAUGUUUCAACAAAAUAUGGAUUCAUUUCAGUUGUUGAUUUAGUAUUGAAAAUUUAAAAACUGAAUUAUCUCCUAUUAAAUACGGUUUUAUAUGUUUAAUUUGUGUUUCUUUAAGAGGUCAGGUGCUCUUGUUCAUUCAUAAAAUUAUCGUUCAUUCAUACAUUUAUCGUAAAAUCAAAAUCACUACACAGGUUAAUGCGUAGUGUCAAAUGAUUACCUGUAAUCUAAAAAUAGACAAACUUUGUUUGCGCAAAUAAUUUUAGCGGACGAAACCCUUGUUGAAAACACAUAACAAUAAGUUCGUUUUCCUUUUCUGUCAAAACUCCGUAAUAUUUAUCGAUCACCUUACUAAUGAAAUGGACCCGUCCAAACGUAGUAGACGCCAAGUCGGUCCAGAUGAGAGAUAUUUCAAUUUGGAAUUUUCUAGUUACAUAGAUUGAAAAAAAGUACGUCUUUUUAAAUAUCAUGAUCAAAACUGGGCAUGCAUAACAAAUGUCAGAUGAAACCAUUAUCCUCGUCUCUUCAGUGAACAAGUCUACUACGUUUGUUAAAACUCGACGGUCCACCGUGUUAGCAAUUUUAUUUCACAUGUUUUCGAAAUAUUGAAGAUCAUUUUUCGCAAUGUUUCCUGAAAAUUGAUAAAUGUCAAAGCAACGUAGAGCUGUUUGUUCUGUUCGUAUAAAAAAUUGAGAAUGGAAAUGGGGAGAUUAUGUGUCAAAGAGACAACAACCCGACCAUAGAAAAACAUACAACAGCAGAAGGUCACCAACAGGUCUUCAAUGCAGCGAAAAAUUCCCGCACCCGGGGGCGUCCUUCAACUGGCCAUAAACAAUACAUAUACUAGUUCAGUGAUAACGAUUUAAUGUCAUGUUUGUCUGUGAUGACCCCCUUUUUCGGGAUUGCAUGAUAAUUAUAGUUAUCUCUUACCCACAUGCACUUGUUUCUAUCCAUAGGAAGGUCGACUAUCAUAUAAAACUAUUUUGGAUAGAAACAAGUGCUGUGCUCGUACCGCAUCAGAAGGACAUACAUGUAUAUCAACUGAGCAAUAAUGUUGGAACUUAGUUUUUAAAAAUGAUGACAAAGUACCAUUAUGAAAAUAUUUUUAUUAAGCUGAAACAUACAUUUAUUCUUUACAUGUUUAUGUCUUGUAAGAUAUUUUAUUUCUUUCCCGUUUUUUAACAUUUGCGUCUGGAAAGUUGAAAUGUUUUAACUUAAUCAUUUGUGUUAAGGGUUAAAUAUAAAUUAAUAAUGAAAAUUAUUAAAAUUAAAUCAAUAAAGGAAAUUAUUGCCCAGUUACAAACACUACCAGGGGAUAAUCCAUGAUGAUUUCUUUUUGAGUUAUAUGUUUCAGCACAUGUAUAUUUUCCCCAACUUUAGCCUGGUAAACGUGUUUUCUCCUUGUGAGAUAUAAAACAUAUUAAAAAUGACUUUCUGCUAAAGUCUUUUAUUUAUAUAAAGUUAAAACCUUCUUACUUCUAACUAGACAACACUCAUGUCAGGUUUAAUUAUUAUAUAUAAGUCCCCAAACAUUAACAUGACAGCAAUUGCUUUUACAGCCUUUAAGGCUUUGAUUUGUCAUUGUUGUAUAGUAAGCAGGGUUUCAAUUUUCUGACAUUUUUUCUUUUUUCCUAGUGCUUAAAUGUUGCGACAAAGACCUGUUUAUGUGGACAAAGAAAGAAAGAAUUGCCAUGUUAUAAAGAUUAUCAUUGUGAGACAAGAUGUACCAGAAUGAGGGAUUGUGGGAAGCAUCAGUGUCGGAGAAAGGUAAAAAUACAUGUUUAACAAACUUUUACGAACUGCCAGCCAAAAAAUCUGAUGGUAUGAAAUUGCAGGGCAUUUGAAAUUCUAGUUCCGUAAAGGAGGAAAUCUUUUAAUUUAUUUAGCCAUGUAAAAAAUGGUGGUAUUAGGACAAGUUUAGGGAGGGUCAGUAUUGGCCCUCUAAUUCCAUGAAAUUUAAAUUUGAAUGCAGCAAUAAAAUUAAACAUCUGAUGGCAAAAUAUUUAAAAAUAUCGGACAAAUAAAAAAGUUUUGACUCAUAAAACACUUAUUUCAUAAUGAGGUUAAAAUUAAGCAUUCACAUUUGAUUAGAUUAUUGCUUCAAACAAAAGAUACCGCAUCCAUAAGUUUUUGUAAGUAUUUAUAUAUCAAAUCUAUUAGCAGUAAAACCUGCCUUAAUGACCACCUAGUUUACAACUUCAUUAUUAUUUUCAUGUUUCAAAAGAAAAUUGGAAAAAGAGAGUGUGUUUUAACCUUGUUUCCACCAAUAUAAAUUUCAUUAUAUAUUUUCAGUGUUGUGAUGGGAAUUGUUCUCCUUGUGAACAGACUUGUAACAAACCACUUGGCUGUAAAACUCAUAAAUGUGCAAGUCGUUGUCACCCUGGUAAGUCGUUAGACAAUUUAUAGUGCCAGGUUCUCUCAUAAAACUGUAAUCAGUACUUGGAAUUACCAAGGACUAAAAGAAGCACCAAAUCCAGUAUUUUGAUUGGUUGAAUUCUGAUUCUGAUUCCUUUAAUUGUGCUCAUGAUUUGUAUACCCUGUAGGCCUUGUAAGACAUAUGACAAUUCAAAAGUAAAGAUAUUCUUUUUGGGUUUCUUGAAAUUAAAAAUUUGUAGCCAUUCGUCUUUCUUGAGAUGAUCCAUAUAUAUUCUUAAAUACAUAAAAAAAUUUGACUGAAAUCACCAAACAACUAGAAAGUAUUCUAGUCAUGUUGAUAGUUUAAUUGUUGUUUUUUAAUGUCCAGUGGCAAAUAUUUCAUUGAUAGUUUUAUUAUUCUUAGAAGGUAUUCUGGCUAAAUAUCACACACUUAUAUUAAUCAGUGUCAUUUAUUUCAACUUUAAUAUUGAUAGUAGAAAAAUAACCAGUUUUCAUUUUCUGUCAUCAUUUUGUACAUUAAUAUUGCAUGUAUUACCUAAUAAAGUUAUAUAUACAUAUCUCUUUUCCAUUUCUAGGUCGUUGCUACCCAUGUUCGAAUACAGUAGAGUUAACCUGCAAUUGUAAAAUGGCAAGGAUAACAGUACCGUGUGGAAGAGAAAAGAUCACCAAACCUCCGAGAUGUCACCAAAAGUGUAGGUCAGUAGUCUAAAUAAAAAAGGGGGGAGUACUGUAAACUAACAUAUUUUUGAGGAUACUUUUUUUCAUGUUUAGCCCUUUCAAGUCCACUUCAUGAUGAAUUAGUUUCAUGGUUAUCUAAUUUACUUGAUGUAGUUAAAUAAGAGAAGAUCCAAGUUAUACACAUUCACAACUUUUUAAAUUCCCGUUAAUUAUUUCUAUUCGCCAAAGAUGUGAAAAUAAAUAGUUAGUUUACAGUAUUUAGCACUCAAAUUCUAAAAAUGAUUCCAUAAAAGUAUUAUUAUCUAUUGAUGACUCAAUUUUGUGUGCUUAUUUCCUGAUUCAAAAAGAAAUUACAUUUUGGUGGACUGCUGGGAAUUAAUCUUGAAAGGGCUAAUUGAAAGAAAAGGUAUCUCAAAAUUAGUAGGUUAAAUACACCAAAACUCUUUGUAGGUUAUGUAUGUUAGUUGUUAUUUUGUCUUUCCUCAUUUUAGGAGACCACCAUUAUGCCACCAUCCUGCCACAAUACCACAUGCUUGCCAUUUUGGGGAAUGCCCACCUUGUAGACUUCAAUGUUUAAAGAAGUUGUCUCCGUGUUCUCACCCUUGUCCUAUGAUGUGUCACUCAGCAGUCAAGGUCAAGAUUAAAGAAAAUGUAAGUCUGGGAUUCGAAAAAAACAUAAAAUGUAAAAAAGCCAUGGUCAGAGACAUUGUAAAAGGUUAUCAUUUAGGAGAUAACUGUAUUGUAUUUUAAGCUAUGAUGGCAUCAAUUGGGGAUUUGAUGGUCGCAAAUUAAGCUUACUGGCGACUUGUUUGCGGAGACAGCAAACAGGUAUUUGCGACCAUCAAAUCCCAAAUUGAUGCCGUCGAAGCUUAAAAUACAAUAAUGUUAUCUCCAUUCUAAUGAAACUGACAGAAAACAACAUUAAAACAUGUAUUUGAAAUCAGUCAUAUGCUGUAGGCGCUUGCGCGUACGUCCCAUAGCAACAAUUGUCAAUUGUAAGAAAGUGACGUUAUCCAAUCAAAAUGAACGUUACAAAUGUUGUUGCAUUAGAAUAAGAAAUUUCAAGGUCAAAAUGAUUUAAAAUAUCAAGAUGAUGUUUCAUUUAUUUGAAAUUUGUAUUUUAAAGAAAGUUAUUUUGACAAUUUGUGGAUGUCUGUUUUCACAAGGUUACUGAUGAGUUGCAUUUUAUUGAUUAUAAUAAAAACAUUCAGUAUGCCCUCUCUAUGAUAGGGCCUUAUUGGCUGAGUGAUCAUAGUAGUUCAUGUACUAGAAUGUCAACUCUGAAGUUGUGAGUUUGACCUGCAAAUGGUAUCUGCAUUUGACCCCAUUCUAACUUGACUAGUAUUGUGAGUUUUUUCCUGGAAUAUGGUCACUGGUUCUCAAAAAGGCAAUCCAAAUCCUCCACCAAUAAAAACUGACAGCAACAAUACACCCAAUAUGUAGAGAGGCCGUUAAACAGUAACAAUCAAUCAAUCAAUCAUCCUUAGUUUGAUAUUAGACUAUGAUUUCAAAUUUGUCAUGAAAAAUAUGCAGAGAAAUUUUUUUUACAAAUUUAGUUAUUUGCUCAUAUUUGGAUGGAUUCUUGUGUCAGAAACAUUUUACAUGCACUUUUAGAAUAUUUUGAAUAUAUUUCAUGACGUUUAAGGAAGCUCAAGGGUAUAAAAAUUUCAGAAAAAAAUCAAACAUUUGUUUUUCAUUACAAAUUUUAUUUUUUUUCCUUUUGUAGUUGUUACUUAUCAUAUGGUACAAAAUCAUUCAAAAUAAUUCGUGUGGCCCAGAUGACUUUCAAAAGGUAUCAUCAUUGAAAAGUUCAAAUUAUUAUCUGCUUUGGUGGAAAUGCAUUUUUUGCUCUAAAAUUGAAAUAUCUUUUUCAACUCAUCGGGACUAUCUUUUUUAAUUAAUUUCCAUAUAAACUGUACUUAAACUAAAUAAUUGUAAAAUUUAAGCGAUUUUGUAAUAAUUUCUUUUUUUUUUUUGAUAUUCCUUUAUUUCUCCUAUUACUUCAAAAGAAAAACCCUUUACAAAAAUGUAUGCUUCUUUCGAAGGCAGAUUGUGAGCGCAAAUGAACAGUGAUCCACUUUUUUAUUUAUUUUUCUAUUAACUAUAGAUAAAGUUCAUUUAUAGAAAAAUACAGAUUGAAAUCUAUAUAAUGAUUUGACCGCGAACCCCCUUAAUAAUCAUUUUAUCAUUGUUAUAGAUGAAUCUGCAUAUCAUUAUUUAUGAUCUUUGUAUUUCAGCUAAAUGUUGCUGGACCUUGGGAAGGAAGACCAACAAUCAGAGAGGAAAUUCACGACAAACCUUGUCCACCCUGUAAAGUACCUAUAACUAUACAAUGUUUGGGAUUACAUGAGGUAUGUGUUUCUGUCCACCCUAAAGUACCUAUAGAAUACAAUGUGUGGGAUUAACAUGAGGUAUGUGUUUCUGUCCACCUGUAAAGUACCUAUAGCUUAUACAAUGUGUUGGGAUUAAUGAGGCUAAUGUGGUUUCUGUUCACUUAGUACCUAUAGCUAUACAAUGUUUAGGAUUACAUGAGGUAUGUGUUUUUGUCCACCUGUAAAGUACCUAUACUAUACAAUGUUGGGAUUACAGAGGUAUGUGUUUCUGUCACCUGUAAAGUACCUACAGCUAUACAAUGUUGGGAUUACAAGAGGUAUGUUUUCGUCACCUGUAAAGUACCUAUACUAUACAAUGUUGGGAUUACUGAGGUAUGUGUUUCUGUCCACCCUGUAAAGUACCUAUGCUUUACAAUGUUUGGGAUUACAUAGUAUGUGUUUCUGUCCACCCUGUAAAGUACUAUAGCUAUACAAUGUUUGGGAAUACAUGAGGUAUGUGUUUCUGUCAACCUGUAAAGUACCUAGGAAUACAAAGUUUGGGAUUACAUGAGGUAUGUGUUUCUGUCACCUGUAAGUACUAUAGCUAUACAAUGUUUGAUUACAUGAGGUUGUGUUCUGUCCACCUGUAAAGUACUAUAGCUAUACAUGUUGGGAUUAAUGAGUAUGUUUUUCCUGUAAAAGUAGUUAAGAUACAAUGUUAGGAUUACAUGAGGGUAUGUGUUUCUUCGUAAGUACCUAGCUUAUAAUGUUAUUACUUGAGUAUGAGGUUGUUUCUGUCACCCUGUAAAGUACUAUAGUAUACAAUGUGUGGGAUUAAUGAGGUAAUCCUUUAUAAAGUACCUAUAGCUAUACAAUGUGUGGAUUACAUGAGGUAUGUGGUGUUUUGUCUAAAGUACCUAUAGCCACCCUGUAAAGAUUACAUGAGGUAUGUGUUUCUGUCCAUAGUACUAUAGCUAUACAAUGUUAGGAUUACAUGAGGUAUGUGUGUGUCACCCCACUUAAACCUGUACCUACAUGUUAUUGGGAUUACAUGAGGUAUGUUUGGGAUACAUGAGGUAUGUUUCUGUUCUGUCCACCUGUAAAAGUACCUACAUGUGUUAUGUCCACCAUGUAAAGUACUAUAGCUAUACGGAUUGUGGUUACAUGAGGUAUGUGUUCUGUCCCGUGUAAAGUACCUAUAGCUAUACAGUGUUUGGAUUAUGAGUAUGUGUUUCUGUCACCCUGUAAAGUACCUAUAUACUAUUACAAUGUGUUUCUGGGAUAUACAUGAGGUAUGUGUUUCUGUCCACUGUAAAGUACUAUAGUGGGAACAGGUAUGUUGGGGAUUACAGGGGAUGAGGUGUUUUCUGUCACCUGUAAAGUACCUAUAGCAUACAAGUUUGGAUUACAUAAGGUAUGUGUUUUGUCCACCUGUAAUAGUUUUGAAUUAAUGAGGUAUGUGUUUCUCACCUGUAAAGUACCUAUAGCUAUACAUGUUUGGGAUUACAUGAGGUAUGUGUUUCUGUCCACCCUGUAAAGUACCUAUAGCUAUACAAUGUUUGGGAUUACAUGAGGUAUGUGUUUCUGUCCACCCUGUAAAGUACCUAUAGCUAUACAAUGUUUGGGAUUACUAACCUGUCCAAAGUACUAUAGCUAUACAAUGUUGGGAUUACAUGAGGUAUGUGUUUCUGUCCACCCCUGUAAAGUACCUAUAGCUAUACAAUGUUUGGGAUUACAUGAGGUAUGUGUUUCUGUCCACCCUGUAAAGUACCUAUAGCUAUACAAUGUUUGGGAUUACAUGAGGUAUGUGUUUCUGUCCACCCUGUAAAGUACCUAUAGCUAUAACAAUGUUUGGGAUUACAUGAGGUAUGUGUUUCUGUCCACCCUGUAAAGUACCUAUAGCUAACAAUGUUUGGGAUUACAUGAGGUAAUGUGUUUCUGUCCACCCUGUAAAGUACCUAUAGCUAUACAAUGUUUGGGGAUUACAUGAGGUAAUGUGUUUCUGUCCACCCUGUAAAGUACCUAUAGCUAUACAAUGUUUGGGAUUACAUGAGGUAUGUGUUUCUGUCCACCUGUAAAGUACCUAUAGCUAUACAAUGUUUGGGAUUACAUGAGGUAUGUGUUUCUGUCCACCCUGUAAAGUACCUAUAGCUAUACAAUGUUUGGGAUUACAUGAGGUAUGUGUUUCUGUCCACCCUGUAAAGUACCUAUAGCUAUACAAUGUUUGGGAUUACAUGAGGUAUGUUUUCUGUCCACCCUGUAAAGUACCUAUAGCUAUACAAUGUUUGGGAUUACAUGAGGUAUGUGUUUCUGUCCCCCUGUAAAGUACCUAUAGCCUAUACAAUGUUUGGGAUUACAUGAGGUAUGUGUUUUUCUGUCCACCCUGUAAAGUACCUAUAGCUAUACAAUGUUUGGGAUUACAUGAGGUAUGUGUUGUUUCUGUCCACCCUGUACAGUACCUAUAGUAUACAUGUUUGGGAUUACAUGAGGUGUGUGUGUUUCUGUCCACCCUGUAAAGUACCUAUAGCUAUACAAUGUUUGGGAUUACAUGAGGUAUGUGUUUCUUGUCCACCCUGUAAAGUACCUAUAGCUAUACAAUGUUUGGGAUUACAUGAGGUAUGUGGUUUCUGUCCACCCUGUAAUAAGUACCUAUAGCUAUACAAUGUUUGGGAUUACAUGAGGUAUGUGUUUCUGUCCACCCUGUAAAGUACCUAUAGCUAUACAAUGUUUGGGAUUACAUGAGGUAUGUGUUUCUGUCCCACCCUGUAAAGUACCUAUAGCUAUAUACAUGUUUGGGAUUACAUGAGGUAUGUGUUUUCUGUAAAGUACCUAUAGCUAUACAAUGUUUGGGAUUACAUGAGGUAUGUGUUUCUGUCCACCCUGUAAAGUACCUAUAGCUAUAACAAUGUUUGUGGGAUUACAUGAGGUAUGUGUUUCUGUCCACCCUGUAAAGUACCUAUAGCUAUACAAGUGUUUGGGAUUACAUGAGGUAUGUGUUUCUGUCCACCCUGUAAAGUACCUAUAGCUAUACAGUGUUUGGGAUUACAUGAGGUAUGUGUUUUCUGUCCACCCUGUAAAGUACCUAUAGCUAUACAGUGUUUGGGAUUACAUGAGGUAUGUGUUUCUGUCCACCCUGUAAAGUACCUAUAGCUAUACAGUGUUUGGGAUUACAUGAGGUAUGUGUUUCUGUCCACCCUGUAAAGUACCUAUAGCUAUACAAGUGUUUGGGAUUACAUGAGGUAUGUGUUUCUGUCCACCCUGUAAAGUACCUAUAGCUAUACAGUGUUUGGGAUUACAUGAGGUAUGUGUUUCUGUCCACCCUGUAAAGUACCUAUAGCUAUACAGUGUUUGGGAUUACAUGAGGUAUGUGUUUCUGUCCACCCCUGUAAAGUACCUAUAGCUAUACAAGUGUUUGGGAUUACAUGAGGUAUGUGUUUCUGUCCACCCUGUAAAGUACCUAUAGCUAUACAGUGUUUGGGAUUACAUGAGGUAUGUUUUCUGUCCACCCUGUAAAGUACCUAUAGCUAUACAAGUGUUUUGGGAUUACAUGAGGUAUGUGUUUCUGUCCACCUGUAAAGUACCUAUAGCUAUAACAGUGUUUGGGAUUACAUGAGGUAUGUGUUUUCUGUACCACCCUGUAAAGUACCUAUAGCUAUACAAUGUUUGGGAUUACAUGAGGUAUGUGUUUCUGUUCCACCCUGUAAAGUACCUAUAGCAAUGUUUAUACAAUGUUUCUGUUUGGGAUUACAUGAGGUAUGUGUUUCUGUCCACCCUGUAAAGUACCUAUAGCUAUACAAUGUUUGGGAUUACAUGAGGUAUGUGUUCUGUCCACCCUGUAAAGUACCUAUAGCUUACACCCUGUGUUUGGGAUUACAUGAGGUAUGUGUUUCUGUCCACCCUGUAAAGUACUAUAGCUAUACAGUGUUUGGGAUUACAUGAGGUAUGUGUUUCUGUCCACCCUGUAAAGUACCUAUAGCUAUACCAGUGUUUGGGAUUACAUGAGGUAUGUGUUUCUUCUAAAGUCCACGUGUAAAAGUACCUAUAGCUAUACAGUGUUUGGGAUUACAUGAGGUAUGUGUUUUUCUGUCCACCGUGUAAAGUACCUAUAGCUAUACAGUGUUUGGGAUUACAUGAGGUAUGUGUUUCUGUCCACCUGGUAAAGUACCUAUAGCUAUACAAUGUUUGGGAUUACAUGAGGUAUGUGUUUCUGUCCACCCUGUAAAGUACCUAUAGCUAUACAAUGUUUGGGAUUACAUGAGGGUGUGUGUUUCUGUCCACCCUGUAAAGUACCUAUAUAGCUAUACAAUGUUUGGGAUUACAUGAGGUAUGUGUUUCUGUCCACCCUGUAAAGUACCUAUAGCUAUACAAUGUUUGGGAUUACAUGAGGUAUGUGUUUCUGUCCACCCUGUAAAGUACCUAUAGCUAUACAAUGUUUGGGAUUACAUGAGGUAUGUGUUUCUGUCCACCCUGUAAAGUACCUAUAGCUAUACAAUGUUUGGGAUUACAUGAGGUAUGUGUUUUUCUGUAAAGUCCACCCUGUAAGUAAAGUACUAUAGCUAUACAGUGUUUGGGAUUACAUGAGGUAUGUGUUUCUGUCCACCCUGUAAAGUACCUAUAGCUAUACAGUGUUUGGGAUUACAUGAGGUAUGUGUUUCUGUCCACCCUGUAAAGUACCUAUAGCUAUACAGUGUUUGGGAUUACAUGAGGUAUGUGUUUCUGUCCACCGUGUAAAAGUACCUAUAGCUAUACAGUGUUUGGGAUUACAUGAGGUAUGUGUUUCUGUCCACCGUGUAAAGUACCUAUAGCUAUACAGUGUUUGGGAUUACAUGAGGUAUGUGUUUCUGUCCACCUUGUAAAGUACCUAUAGCUAUACAAUGUUUGGGAUUACAUGAGGUAUGUGUUUCUGUCCACCUGUAAAGUACCUAUAGCUAUACAAUGUUUGGGAUUACAUGAGGUAUGUGUUUCUGUCCACCCUGUAAAGUACCUAUAGCUAUACAAUGUUUGGGAUUACAUGAGGUAUGUGUUUCUGUCCACCCUGUACAGUACCUAUAGCUAUACAAUGUUUGGGAUUACAUGAGGUAUGUGUUUCUGUCCACCAUGUACAGUACCUAUAGCUAUACAAUGUUUGGGAUUACAUGAGGUAUGUGUUUCUGUCCACCUGUAACAGUACCUAUAGCUAUACAAUGUUUGGGAUUACAUGAGGUAUGUGUUUCUGUCCACCCCUGUAAAGUACUAUAGCUAUACAAUGUUUGGGAUUACAUGAGGUAUGUGUUUCUGUCCACCCUGUAAAGUACCUAUAGCUAUACAAUGUUUGGGAUUACAUGAGGUAUGUGUUUCUGUCCACCCUGUAAAGUACCUAUAGCUAUACAAUGUUUGGGAUUACAUGAGGUAUGUGUUUCUGACCACCUUGUAAAGUACCUAUAGCUAUACAAUGUACAAUGUUUGGAUUACAUGAGGUGUGUGUUUCUGUCCACCCUGUAAAGUACCUAUAGCUAUACAGUGUUUGGGAUUACAUGAGGUAUGUGUUUCUGACUGAUUUGUUGUGUGACAUAUAGGAUGUAAGGAAAUGUGAUAUGAUUGCCUAUAUAAGAAAACUGUCCAUCAAAGUUUAAAUAUAAUGAAUGUUAGCAAUUAAAGGCAACCAUAUGGCCUUCAACAAUGAUAAAAACCCAUACUGUAUGGCUUAGAGCUAUUCCAGAAAAAAAUGUAUGGGGGGUUGGAAGGCAGUUUUUGUCAGCAACCGCCACCCAGACAAUUGUAAUUGAGAAUUAUAGUGCAUUAUAGUGUGAAAAGUUGCUCUGAUACCCAUCACCCAUGUAUUAUGAAUAUAAUGUGCCUUCCAACCCCCCCCCCCUCUACAUUUUUUUUACAGUGAAAGUGUAAAGAAAUUAAAAAAUAUCUUACUGGGAACAAUGUUUUUUAUGUGCAAUAGUCUUUUUAAAAAGGUUUCUGAAUUGUAACUAGAACUUGAAGCUUAAAUGUUGAAAAUACAUUCAAUUUAAAUCAAGAAAUUCAAACUUAUUAUUUACAUGCUAAUGUUUUUUCAGAAUUUUGCAUUUGAUUGUUUUUUUCAGACUGGUACCUUUGCAUGUUCAGAGGUUAGACCAUACAGUUGUGGUAGGUCAUGUGACCGUCUGCUGUUGUGUGGUAAUCAUACAUGUCAAUUACCCUGCCACCUAGUUACUGGAGCAAAGGAGAAUGGAAAGGUUAGUUUAAUUAUUGAAUUAAUUCACUUGCGAAACCAUUUUUUGUGGUUUUUAAAUGAUAAAAAAUCUGUGUACUUUUGUAACAUAUUACACAAUUCUUGUUAUAAAAUCUGUGAACUUUUGUUACAUAGUACACAAUUCUUGAUAAAAAAAUCUGUGAAAUUUUGUUACAUAGUACACAAUUCUUGAUGAAAAAAUCUGUGCACUUUUGUUUAAUAGUACACAAUUCUUGACAUAAAAUCUGUGUAAUUUUGUUUUGCUCAUUUCUUUCUUAUCUUUAUUUUGAGAGUUUGUCAAAUUCCUUUUAAUAUAUUUAUAUAAAAUUGCCCUUCUUUAACAAAAGCACUGAUAACAGACAGUUAAGAUGCUGCUAAAGUUCAUGUAAUUGUAUGCAGGCUUUUUACCCCAAAAAAUCUGUAUAAGUACUCUUUCAACAAUUCUUUUAGUUAUUUAUUUUCUAUAAAAACAAAAUUUUAGAAAUAAGUUCUACCCCUCAAGUGGAAAAAAGUAAAAAGAAUACAAAUAGUUCUUAUAAAUGCAGUUCUAGAUUGAUAAUUAAUGUGUUUUUAUCUUUGAUAAAAGACUGGUGACAAUUGCAGUCUGUGUGAAGAGGGAUGUGACAAGCCCCGCCCAGAUGGGUGUACCCACAAGUGUCCACUUCUCAAGUGUCAUCCUGGUGAUUGUCCCCCUUGCACACAGAUGAUCCGCAUGAGGUGUCAUUGUCAGAUAAUGGUUCAACACUUAGAUUGCAAUAAAUUGACUAAUUCUGACAAGAAUACUAAAAAUACCCUGAGGUCAUGUGGAGGACAAUGUCCGAAAAAGGUAAGGUAUUGAAAGCCAAUUUUUCAGACCUUUAACUUGUAAAUCAAACUGAAGAUUCAGUCAGGGAAAAAAAUGUCUUUGUUGUUUUGUGCUACCAUGUGAAUGAAAGAAUGUGUUUAUAUCAAGGAGACAACACAAGACAGAAACUAUUAUAUUUUAUACCAACUCAACAGAAAUAAAGUUCUUCUCAAAAAUGAAAGUGGUCUUCAGACAAGGGAUUUAUAAUUUUUUAGGGAAAACCAGAGAGGCUUUCAUUUGUAUCUGGAAAGAUAACAUUUGACAUAUUUCUUUACUUGCAAAUAAUUAAGUUGAAAUAGACAGUUUUGCAUUAAAAAAAAAAAAGAAAAAGGGCCAUAACUCUUUAUAACUUUGUUAUAUAUUUUUCAGCUGUCGUGUGGCCAUGUAUGUAGUUCUAAUUGUCAUGCUGGUCCUUGUCCUAUGGAAAAGAAAUGUACCAAAAAGACCACACGGAAAUGUGCAUGUAAACGUAUUAAAAAGGAAGUAGUUUGUAAAGACGUGACAAGUAAAGUGCUAGACUGUGAUGAGAAAUGCAAGGAAGAAAAUGAGAAAAAGAAAGAG
Molecule: long non-coding RNA, 41442 nt
Filed under: Mytilus galloprovincialis (Mediterranean mussel)
Lineage: Eukaryota; Metazoa; Mollusca; Bivalvia; Mytilida; Mytilidae
Source: RNAcentral